GAGGUCUUCAAAUGAAGCAUUACCAAAUUAUUCUCUCAAUAAAUCUAGGCAUUUUAACUCACCCUGAGGAAAAAGCCUUCUCUGGCAGUUCCUAUUGGACUUACUUAAUCCGAGCAUCGCCUACGAAGAAGAGCCGACGCAGAACAUGCAAGAGGUUGGAGGAGGUUGGAAUCUGAAAGCAGUAUUUUCUUAGCUGAUAAAUGAUGUGAGACCUUUCGGAGUAAACAAAGUAGUGUUGGACAAGAAGCCGGAUUGAAUGCACGAGUUCGGCUAGAUAUCAGUUACUACAGUCGGUGUCUUCAUGUAGUUCAGCGUUUUCAUAACCCAGGAGAUCGAGUGAUCCCUUUUCGCCUGCCUCGCUGGACAAUUUCAAACAGAUGGGUGUAAUCUCUCACCCAUAGUCGCCACAAAACCAGCAUGGAACUCACAUGAAAGCUUCCCAGCGCACCGUUCUGCCUUCCCCAGACUGUAACAAUAAAGGCUUUUUUAAAGGCAGGUGUUGAUCUGAACAUAAGAGCCAAAA
This is a long non-coding RNA of Pygocentrus nattereri (red-bellied piranha), 523 nucleotides long. RefSeq lists it as uncharacterized. The record is from RefSeq and is a predicted model, not a curated record. The transcript is spliced from 4 exons. Lineage: Eukaryota; Metazoa; Chordata; Actinopteri; Characiformes; Serrasalmidae.